GAAGGAACCGUAGGGGGACAGGGACGCGGGUGUGGGGCCUCUCCAGGGCUGCGCUGCCACCAGCCACAAGAGACGUUGCUGGUUCAAGUUGAAAUGUGCUGUAGGUGUAGAAUACACACCGAAUUUCCGAGACUUAGUAGAAAACAUAUAAAAAUCUCAUAAUUUUAUCUUGAUUAUAAACUGGAUAGUUGAUUACAAAAUUGGUUACAGUUUUAGAUAUAUUUGGUUAAAUAAAACACAUUUAGAAUAAUUUCAUGGGGCACCUGAGUGGCUCAAUCGGUUCAGCCUCCUCUUGAUUUCUGUUCAAGCCUUGAUACCAGGAAAAUGAUUUGGGAAUCAGCCUUAGGUGGGGCUCUGUGCUGAACGCGGAGCCAGCUUGGGAUUCUGUCUCCUUCUCUCUGCGCCUCUCCCGCUUGUGCUCUCUCUCCCUCUCUUUCAAAAACAAAUAAGCAUUUUUAAAAAUAAUUUUUGUUUGUCUGUUUGUUUGCUUUUUAAAAUAUGGCCGCUAAACUUAAAAUCCCUAUUUGGCUCGCGAUAUAUUUCUGCUGGAUAGCAGUGGUUCAGAAGGAAAAGGGACAGCUAACGCCUCUUGAGUGCUUAUUAUGUCCCAAGCACUCUUGUAGGUACGUGACACCCAAUAACUCAUUUACUUGCCAAAACAAUGCUUUAUAAUUGGUAUCAAUGGUCCCAUUCUCAUUUUACAGAUGAGAAACAAAUACAAGUUUAGUAAUUUAUGUAAUGACCACAUUCCAGCAAUCAAGUGUGGUGCUUUUAACUCAGGCAACCAGGCACUGGGACAUGUAGUCAGUUAACCUGUAGAGCAGGCUGGUUACCAGAAAGAACACUGGACUUGGUUGAAAGCCCUGGUUCAAGGUCAGCCCUGCUACUUUGUGUGUAACUUUGGGAAAUUAAGCUUUAAUUGCCUUAGUAAAAAAUGAGAUAAUGCAAGUCACCAGCCUGUCAUAGCCCCUGUUACGGUGACCUAGAGGUAGCAUAGUGAGGUAAACUUGGACUCUGGACCCUGAGUCCCUGUGUGCAAAUCUGGGAACUGCAACCUACAAGUUAUGUGAGCUUGCGGGAGAUUUUUAAUCUCUCUGUACCUCAGUUUCCUUAACUGUAAAAUGAAUAAUAGUCACACCUACCUUAUUAGGGUUGUUAGGCAGAUCAAAUGUGUUGAUAUAAAUAAAGUACUUAGCUUGGUGCCUAGCACUUAGCAAGCAUUUACAGAGUACUACUCAGAAUGACUUUAAAGAAGCAUUUAUAGCCUAUACAAAUAUGAAGGAAUGAAGGAUAAAAGGAUAAGUGGAAAAUGUAUAGAACUAUGAAUUUGGAGCCCUGGAAAGAACUUUAGGCCAAUCACGGAGAACUGAAAUGACUAAUUAAUAAGGCAGGUGUCCUGGGACCAAACUCAAAGUUUUUCCCCUCUUUCACACCCAGACUCCAGAGCAGGGGAACUACCAUUGCAAGCCUGAAUGCAUUCAUCCAACAGAUACUGAAUGAUGAUCUGCACAUCAGAAAAGGCCACACAGUGAGGGGCAUUUAUAAAAAGGAUCCACUUCCUGGCUACAAAUCAUAACUGCUCUUAGCUGUGACCCCAAGACUGCACACAGUGAUGCCCUCAGUUCCAGAGUCACGCUCGAGGAAUUCUAGCAUUCCUGAAGAAAUCCAGCCACACCCCUGACUGGUAGACAACCUCGCACCAGCCCACGACAUGUGCCCCAUUCUCCAGCUUCACAGGGCUACGUGCUACUGCCACAGGUGCUUCCCAAAGCCAGGAAAAAUGUUCAGAGAUAUAUUUUUUUUUCCCCACAGUAACAAGGCAGUCUCAACUUAAGUCCUACAAAGAAUCCUUCAGAAGCCCCAAAUCCCUUUGGAUAGGACUUCAUUAAUCCUCAAGUGGCCUUCUGGUUUUUGGACUCAGUCACUCACCCAGGGAGGGGUCCUCUCUGCCCCUGGCCUACACUGCUUUGGGCACCAGCUUGCUUCAUAAAAGUUCUAGGCUGCCCCUGAGCCUCCACAAGUGCUCCUGAGCACGCCCUGGGCACACCGGCAAGUUCUCAGCCGCCAGAACCAAGAAGCUGGUAACCUUAUUGUGGGACAACACACUGAAGGCUCAUACUAUAAUACCAGUAUUUGUGACCUGGAUUUUCUGGGAUCCCCAGUGAAGGUGUGAUACAAUAAAUGACGGACAAGUCAUCUAUAAUGAAGGAUGGCCAGGUGACCACAAUAAACUCUGAUGCUGUGGUCUUCAAGGGCACACUAUUUCGUUUUGGAUACCCUGUACUUAAAAAAAAAAACUUUUUUUUUUAAUGUUUAUUUUUGAAGGAGAGAGAGACAGCGCGCGAGCAGGGGAGGGGCAGAGAGAGAGAGAGAGACACACAAAAUCCGAAGCAGGCUCCAGGCUCUCAGCCGUCAGCACAGAGCCCGAUGCGGGGCUCGAACCCACAAACCGUGAGAUCAUGACCUGGGCCAAAGUCAGACGCCUAACUGACUGAGCCACCCAGGCACCCCAUGGAUACCUUGUACUUAAAGGGUUACCGUGUACUCAGGAAUCAGGAGAUUCUAUUAAGUCCUGGUCUUCUAUUUAUCGGUAUCCUUUGGCAAAUUACCCGACCUCCCUUAACAGACUUUCCCAAUCUGUAAAAUGGGCUAACUUCACCUACUUCACACGCUUAGGAAGAUUAAGACAAAAACAUAUAUGUGAAAAUGCUUUGUGCAAAUGCUAGACAGAGCAGCAAUACUGACUGAACGAACCUGAACUUCAGACUAAAAGCCAGACUGGAAAGCUGUAUGCAAGUUCCCAGGAAAACCUGGAAACCAAAUGUGGUCAUUCUGCUCAAAUUUCUAGUCUAUAGCUAUCAGAUUGCCAGUAGGGAACUUUGGAAGUAGUGACAGCUUCUGUUUGGCAAAUAAGUAACCCUGGGGCAAGUGGUCCCAAAUACUAUCAAGUAGCCUAUAGGCAGUGGGUUCAUUGGCAUCCAUAAUAGUUCAUUUGAGAGAGAGAGAGAGAGAGAGAGAGAGAGAGAGACAGAGAGACAGAGAGAGCGAGAGCGAGCAAGCAGGGGAGAGGGCAAAGGGAGAGAAUCCCAAGGAGGCUCCAUGCUCAGCAGAGCCUGAUGUAGGGCUCAAUCCCACACCCUUGGGAUCAUGACCUUAGCCAAAAUCAAGAGCUGGACACUCAACUGACUGAGCCACCCAGGAGUCCCCAUAAUAUUCUUAAUAAACCACCUUUGGAAGAAGCCAAGUGCCAUCUCCAGACAAAACCACUCUGGAAGCACUGUGAAAGAAAGUUUUAAGCCACAUAAUCCCACCGUGCACACAUACAGAAGAAUGACCCAGGAUGCCUGUAGAUUAUUUCCCUAGAACUGACAAGAUCAAAUAUUCCUUGUUCAAGUUCAGUAUUUCAAACAUACCAUCUUUCACUCUGCUUCUGCCUGUCUGCUCUCCAGACAGCAAAAACACCAAAGAUGUGACAGUCUAGUUUCAAAUGACAAAGACAAGAGCUCUAGUGUCUUUGACUCCAGGUUAAAGAGGGUGCUUUAAUUCUUCCCCACCAGGAACUCCCCUGUGAAAGCCAAAGCACAUACCAUCCGAGCUGGGGCAGAGUUCUGCCUCUGUGUGAAGAUAUCUUUACCCUCCUCAAGUCCAUGAGAGUGCAGGCAGCCACGAGAUGCCGGUCUUAUUGGCUUCUUAAACUCAAAGGCUUCCUGCAAGACAGCAGAGUCGAUAUAUCUUCCCCUGUCCAUGAAAACCAGGGUCUUAGCUGUAGCUUGGGUGAGACAGUCAAGGGAGUAGGCACUGCUCACCUUUGCAACUGCCUCCAAACUAAGGGUUUACCCAUUUCUGAGCUAACUCCAACGCUAGAUCUGUGUCACUAAGAAUUUCACAGACUGUCAACAGCUAACUUCUAAAGCAGCAUUUUUUUCUCUCACCACAAAGACAUAAAUAUCUGCCAAGUAUACAAAACACUGAGUUAAUAAGCCAAAUCGAAUCAACAACUUCCUAAAAUCUAAAACGAAGUGUUUCAAUAUAAUUGCCUGUGAGUGGGAGUCAAAACCUUUUACUCUUGGGGCACCUGGGUGGCUCAGUUGGUUAAGUGUCCGACUUCAGCUUAGGUCAUGAUCUCGCAGUUAAUGAGUUUGAGCCCCACGUUGGGCUCUGUGCUGCCAGCACAGAGCCUGCUUCGGUCCUCUGUCCCCACCUCUCUCUGCACCUCCCCAGCUCGUGUGCAAGUGCACUCUCUCAAAAAUAAACAUUAAAAAAUAAAUUAAAAAAUAAAUAAAAAUGCUUAAAAAAAAA
Long non-coding RNA from Acinonyx jubatus (cheetah), 4299 nucleotides. RefSeq lists it as uncharacterized. The record is from RefSeq and is a predicted model, not a curated record. The transcript is spliced from 4 exons. Lineage: Eukaryota; Metazoa; Chordata; Mammalia; Carnivora; Felidae.